UACCUGGUUGAUUCUGUCAGUAGUCAUAUGCUUGUCUCAAAGAUUAAGCCAUGCUUGUCUAAGUGCACGCCGUCAUACCAUAAAACCAUGAAUGGGUCAUUAAAUCAGCUAUCGUUUAUUGGAUCAUAACCGUUAAAUGGAUAACUGUAAUAACUCUAGAGCUAGUACAUGACCUGAAGCCCGGACCCGCGAAAAAAUAAGUGCACGUAUAAGAUCAGAAGCCACCCUGCCUGUCGUUCUUCUGGUGACUAUGGAUAUUUUUUUACAUAUCGCAGUGGGCAUUGCAUCGGCGACGGGUCCUUCAAAUGUCUGCCCUAUCAACUUUCGAUAGAAGGUUAGCUGCCUACCAUGUUGGUAACGGAAAACGAAGAAUCAGGGUUCGAUCCGGAGAGGGAGCAUGAGAAACGGCUCACACUUCCAAGGGAGGCAGCAGGUGCACAAAUAACCCACUCCCAGGCGGGGAGGUGGUGACGAAAAAUACCGAUGCAAAAUUAUUAUUGAGGCUCCGUUAUCGGAAUGAGUAAACUCUAAAUUCUUGCACGAGGAUCAAUUGGAGGGCAAGUCGGGUGCCAGCAGCCACCAUAA
This 585-nucleotide non-coding RNA is filed under the name Schistocephalus solidus. RNAcentral describes it as "Eukaryotic small subunit ribosomal RNA". It matches the Rfam family "Eukaryotic small subunit ribosomal RNA", at positions 1 to 582 of the family's 1831-position model. Lineage: Eukaryota; Metazoa; Platyhelminthes; Cestoda; Diphyllobothriidea; Diphyllobothriidae. The record is from Rfam by way of RNAcentral.